Molecule: ribosomal RNA, 841 nt
Filed under: uncultured archaeon
Lineage: Archaea
Description: bacterial SSU rRNA
Rfam family: Archaeal small subunit ribosomal RNA
Source: RNAcentral
GUCACUGCUAUUGGGAUUCGACUAAGCCAUGCGAGUCGAGAGGGUUCGGCCCUCGGCUGACGGCUCAGUAACACGUGGAUAAUCUGCCCUUAGGUGGAGGAUAAUCUCGGGAAACUGAGGAUAAUACUCCAUAGAUCUAGGAUGCUGGAAUGCACCUAGAUUGAAAGCUCCGGCGCCUAAGGAUGAGUCUGCGGACUAUCAGGUUGUAGUCAGGGUAAAGGCCUGACUAGCCUACGACGGAUACGGGUUGUGAGAGCAAUAACCCGGAGACGAUAUCUGAGACACGAUAUCGGGCCCUACGGGGCGCAGCAGGCGCGAAAACUUCACAUUGUGCGAAAGCGCGACGAGGGAAUCCCAAGUGUUUGCUCGUAAGAGUAAACUGUUUCUUUGUUUAAAACGCAGAGAGAGUAAGGGCUGGGUAAGACGGGUGCCAGCCGCCGCGGUAAUACCUGCAGCUCAAGUGGUGAUCAUUAUUAUUGGGCCUAAAACGUCCGUAGCCGGUUUAGUAAAUGCCUGGGUAAAUCGUGUAGCUUAACUAUACGAAUUCCGGGUAGACUGCUAAACUUGAGACCGGGAGAGGCUAGAGGUACUCCUGGGGUAGAGGUGAAAUUCUGUAAUCCUAGGGGGACCACCAGUGGCGAAGGCGUCUAGCUAGAACGGGUCUGACGGUGAGGGACGAAGCCCUGGGGCGCAAACCGGAUUAGAUACCCGGGUAGUCCAGGGUGUAAAUGCUGCUUGCUUGAUGUUAGCUGAGCUCCGAGCCCAACUAGUGUCGGAGAGAAGUUGUUAAGCAAGCUGCCUGGGGAAGUACGGUCGCAAGGCUGAAACUUAAAGGAAUUGG